ACCAGAUAUACUCGACAGCAGCCUGCAGAAACCUUCUAUUGGUUUCCUGACCUUGGAGGGAGGGCAUGGGAAAGUCCAAAUUGAAUUCACGAGAACUGACUCUCCCUCAGAACUCAAAGCAGCACCGCACUCCUAGAGGAACUGCAGAGAUGAAUGCCAGAGGGAAGGCUUUUCCAAGGAUGAAGGUGAUGUGAUCUUGAAGAAGUCCAUGAUCCAUGCUUCGGUCGGCUGCUUUGGCAAGGAGGUUUCUUUAGCAGAGGCAUCUGUGACUGUAGACUCAUAACUGAGAAUGAGAAACACCGAAGGCUUCUGUGACAACCUCCACAUUUCCCACUGGGUAGCUCUUCACAGUCUUCACAGUUGAUAGCUUCUGACAGGGGUGGUGGUGGUGGUGGAGCUGGUGGUGGUGGUAUGGUGAAGAAGGACUCAGUUUUCUUGAACGGACUGGUCAUUGGACAUGCUCCAAAGAGUAAAUGGGAAAUACAAAUUGGUCUUGGUGGGUUUGUUGUUGUUGUUGUUAUUUUGGGGGAGGCACAAGACUUGGAAGAACCUGGGGGGGGGGAAUAGAAAGCAUGUGACCAAGAUGCAUUAUAUGAAAUAAUUAAUAAAAAUAUUAUGUUGUAGAAAAAA
RNAcentral lists this long non-coding RNA (630 nucleotides) under Mus musculus (house mouse). Its description in RNAcentral is "predicted gene, 32202 (Gm32202)". The record is from RNAcentral. Lineage: Eukaryota; Metazoa; Chordata; Mammalia; Rodentia; Muridae.